UUUAGGAUUCUAUGAGAAGGCUUAGAAAACCUCAGAUGACCUGGUCAAGCUUGGAGUCAAGCAGAGUAAUCCAAGUGCCAACCCCAGCUGAGCUGAGCUGUUCAGAGAGGCUCCAAGGGGGAGUAUAGCCAAGCCUGGACCCUACCCAGAAGCAGGGCAGGCAGGGAUGACAGAGCAGUCAGUCACCACCCUGAUGCAACAUCCCGGUAACCAGAGAAAGUGCUUCCCUGGCAAACAAGCUUUGUCAGUUGGAUGAUCCCAGGUCACAAAACUGGGCGUCCAUCAUUCCCUAUGCCUAGUCUUCUGCGGGGAGGAUUGUGUGGGAGAUAAGAAGGACAAAGACUAUAAUGAGUGGUCAUGAUCAGCCCAUUGGGGCCCAAUGGCACACAGCACACUUCACAGAACUCUCUCUUCCAUUGUGACUUCAUUGGACUAGAGGCUAUUCCCAUCAUUUUAUAUCUGAGGAAACUGAGGCACAGAGACCUGAAAUAGGGCUCAACAAGUUUGUUUUGCCAGACCCCAGGUUUUACAGCCAUACAAAUCUUGCUGUUUUCUAAAAGGGAAGACAAAUAAAAGACAGCCUGAGACAGUAGAACCCUGGCCCCACCUCCGGGUGAGUGAGAUCUGCAGAAUCACAGAGCAUCAGAGCCAGAACUCUACUGAUCAUCCCAUC
Phascolarctos cinereus (koala) is the source of this 673-nucleotide non-coding RNA. The record is from RefSeq and is a predicted model, not a curated record. NCBI's taxonomy places the organism in Eukaryota, Metazoa, Chordata, Mammalia, Diprotodontia, Phascolarctidae.